RNA transcript from Egretta garzetta (little egret), 2598 nucleotides. It is a transcript of the gene named alpha-L-fucosidase 2, with no coding region annotated. The transcript has 8 exons. The record is from RefSeq and is a predicted model, not a curated record. NCBI's taxonomy places the organism in Eukaryota, Metazoa, Chordata, Aves, Pelecaniformes, Ardeidae.
UAGCUCAGGAUGGGAGAGAGAAACACAUUUCAAACAUUCAGGUUCUGGCCUGUUUUAUUCCUGCACUUGCAGUUUGUUUUCAUUUAUGUCUCAAUUUGCCAACAGAAUUUUUGCUGCUUGGCUUCAUUCAUAGAAAGGUGAAUGCUUACAGACUCUUUUCCUGUAAGUAUUGGCAGUCACAGCGUAUGUUGUUGUUAGAAGGUCUCCAGCAAUAAAGCUGUUGAUGCAGUAAGGACUGUUGCAUGCUGUUUCUGGAGCUCCUCUUUCAUUGCUAGGUAGGGGAGGGAUGGAGCAGGUUGGAAAUAAAUAGCACUGUGUUGGUGAUUUAUGAUCUCUGCCUGUCAUGAGGGUGAGAAGCCGCCCUCAGACCACAGAGCAAAGCUCCAAACUUGCUGUGGACUAGACCAGUCGGAACAGUGACCAUACUGGCUCAGGACUUGAUGUGAUGGGGAAACACAGGGUAGAAACUGUCCCUGCCUUUGCUAGGUGGGAUGCAAAAAGAGACUGUUAGCUUGUUUUUCUUUCUGAUUCCUAAAUCUGUGUGUGUUGGUCCAGUGGACCGUACUAGAGCCUGUAACGGAGGUGCAUUUGUAAGCAUGUGGGAUUCUUGCAGAGGCAGGUUGUUGUUGGAGGAUGUGCCUUCUAGUAGGCUGCUUUUGCUUCAGAGCCUGCAGUCACAGCUCUCUCCUGCUCUGGGACCAUGGGCAUCCGCUCACAUGUCAGGUCACUCAGCUGCGUUUGGCAUAGGGGACUCUGGACCUGCAGAGAGGUGAAGCUGCUGUCCCAUGUGUUGCAGGUGUUGCAGUGUGUGGGGCAGAGCAGAGACACCUGAUGGCUGAUAUGUGAAACUUGAAGAGGUUGAGUUGUUAGUCUGGAAGAGUGCAUUCCUUGUGCCACCUGAGAUACCUGUGUGGACCUGUGCUCCCUAGUAUGGUUUCAGGAUUUGGGUACUGAAUAAGGCUGCCAAGUAUAGGUGCUCUGUGACGUUGCUCCAGAUGAAAUGCUGGGAUCUUUCCUAAGUGGAGCGCUUGAAAGAAGCAGAGCAUGGGGAAAGAGGACAGAGAAAAGGAAAUCUUUGAUAAUUUAUACAGGUGGUACUGGCAGAAGGAGAAGAGAGAGCCCUAUGUGAAAUUUAUGGAGGCGAAUUACCCACCGGGGUUCAGUUAUGAAGAUUUUGGGCCACUGUUUACAGCAGAAUUCUUUGAUCCCAACCAGUGGGCAGAUAUUCUGAAGGCUUCAGGUGCAAAGUACGUUGUCUUAACUUCGAAACAUCAUGAAGGCUUUACUUUGUGGGGAUCCAAAUAUUCCUGGAACUGGAAUGCUGUUGAUGUGGGACCGAAAAGAGAUCUUGUGGCUGAACUAGCAACAUCUGUUAGAAACAGGACUGACUUGCAUUUUGGGUUAUAUCACUCCUUGUUUGAAUGGUUUAAUCCCCUCUUCCUUGAGGAUGCCACCAAUGUCUUUAUGACAAGAACAUUUCCAACCAGUAAAUCAUUACCAGAACUCUAUGAAAUUGUGACCAAGUACCAACCAGAAAUAAUUUGGUCUGAUGGGGAUGGAAACGCGCCAGAUACUUACUGGAAUAGUACUGGUUUCUUGGCUUGGCUGUAUAAUGACAGUCCAGUCCGGGACACAGUCGUGACCAAUGACCGCUGGGGAGCUGGCAGCAUCUGUACGCAUGGCGGCUUCUACACUUGUAGUGACAGGUAUAACCCUGGCCACCUCCUGCCCCACAAGUGGGAGAACUGUAUGACUAUUGACAAGAGGUCAUGGGGGUACAGGAGGAACGCACAACUUGAUGAUUACCUCACAACUGGGGACUUGGUGAAGCAACUUGUAGAAACAGUGUCUUGUGGAGGAAAUCUCUUGAUGAAUAUCGGGCCCACUCAUGAUGGUCGCAUCGCUGUUAUAUUUGAGGAACGCCUGAGGCAGAUGGGUGCCUGGCUGAAAGUCAACGGAGAUGCCAUCUAUGGAACGAAACCAUGGAGAGCACAGAACGACACGGUCACACCAGAAGUGUGGUACACUUUCAGCCCUAAAGAAGGCAAAGUCAACGCUGUCUUCCUGAACUGGCCUGCCUCUGGGACUCUGGAACUGGGUGAGCCACAGGCUAAGCUUGGAGAAACACAGGUGCAGCUGAUUGGCUACAAGGAACAGCUGAAAUGGGUUGCACUGGGAGAGAAGGGAAUGGUGAUAGCUCUGCCUCAGUUAACACCCAAGCAGUUGCCCUGUCAGUGGGGCUGGACUUUGCAACUGACUGGCAUAAACUGAGCCACACGCUGCUGGAGCCUCGGGCAGCAGGGAAUGCUGAUGGCAUGCCCAGUUUCUCAUCACAUGCUUACUUGCUCGAUGGAGAAACGUCAAUAAUUUCACUUUUUUCGGAAAGCACACCAGCAAAGAACCCAAAGCUCCGCAGGUGCUGUGGCUACAGGCAUUUGGAGAGUCAUGGCAGCGCCCGCCUGCCCCAAGAACCACAGCGGCUGGCGGUCAGCGCCUGGGGCACACAGAGCUCCUCUGGCCCCUUGGGGAGGGGUGGGGGAAGGCCAUCUUUCUCACGGCCCCACGGGGCAGGUACUGCAGUACACCUUUCAGCGGUCA